GGUUAAAAAGCUCGUAGUUGGAUCUUGGAGCGUGUUCUUGCGGUCCCGUCUGAUGACUUGUACUGCUUGACGUGUUCUUCUAUUUGGUUGCGCGUGUGGUGCACUUAGUUGAGUGCCACACUCGACCGAAACGUUUACCUUGAAAAAAUUAGAGUGUUCAAAGCAGACCUGUUUGUGUCUGAAUAUUCGUGCAUGGAAUAAUGAAAUAUGAAUUCGGUUCUAUUUUGUUGGUUUUCGGAACUCGAGUUAAUGAUUAAGAGGGACAGACGGGGGCAUUCGUACUCUGCCGUUAGAGGUGAAAUUCUUGGAUCGGCGGAAGACGCGCAACUGCGAAAGCAUUUGCCAAGAAUGUUUUCUUUAAUCAAGAACGAUAGUCGGAGGUUCGAAGACGAUCAGAUACCGUCCUAGUUUCGACUGUGAACUAUGCCAGCUAACGAUCAGACAGCGUUCUCUACGACUUGUCUGGCAGUUUCCGGGAAACCAAAGCUUUUGGGUUCCGGGGGAAGUAUGGUUGCAAAGCUGAAACUUAAAGGAAUUGACGGAAGGGCACCACCAGGAGUGGAGCCUGCGGCUUAAUUUGACUCAACACGCGGAAACUCACCCCGGCCCGGACACAGUGAGGAUUGA
RNAcentral lists this ribosomal RNA (627 nucleotides) under uncultured marine eukaryote. RNAcentral's name for it is "SSU rRNA". It matches the Rfam family "Eukaryotic small subunit ribosomal RNA", at positions 617 to 1243 of the family's 1831-position model. The record is from RNAcentral.